GUUCUUACUUCGGAAAGCUAAUAAUUUUGUUAGCUCUUUCUUCAGAUCCUUUGAAGCAAAAGAUUCUUGAUUGGAAGACUCGGUUCAACAUAAUGGAAGGAAUAUGCAGAGGUCUUUUGUACCUUCACAGAGAUUCAAGACUAAGGAUCAUACACAGAGAUCUAAAAGCCAGCAACAUUUUGUUAGAUGACAACCUGAAUCCUAAAAUAUCUGAUUUCGGGCUUGCAAGAGUUUUCCGAGCGAAUGAAGAUGAAGCUAACACAAGAAGGGUUGUAGGGACAUAGUAAGUAUUCAUUCCCAAAAAAUAGUAACACAAAUAUUUUGAAAACCAGUUUUAUCAUAGCCUAUAUGAAUGAUUUUUUGAUGUUAUUGCAGCGGCUACAUGUCACCGGAAUAUGCAAUGGAAGGUUUAUUUUCAGAAAAAUCAGACGUUUUCAGCUUGGGGGUUAUACUUUUAGAGAUCAUAAGCGGGAGAAGAAACUCUCACAAGGAAGAGAAUCAUCCAAACCUUUUAUCUUAUGUAAGUGUGUGCUAAUAAUUAGUGUUUAGUAGCUUUUAAACUUUACCCGUAAGUUUGGUCUGUUUACAGGUGUGGACGCUGUGGAAUGAGGGUGAGGCUGCUUCUCUAGCAGAUCCAAACGUCUUUGAUGAGUCUUUCGUGAAAGAGAUAGCAAAUUGUGUUCAGAUUGGUUUGUUGUGUGUGCAAGAAGUUGCUGACGAUAGACCGAAUGUUUCAACUGUGAUCUGGAUGCUAACAACUGAGAACAUGAACCUCCCUGAGCCGAAGCAGCCUGCGUUUAUAACAAGAAGAGAAAAGUCUGAGGGUGAAUCUUCUAACCAGAGUAGUCAAAAGGUCUCUAUCAAUGAUGUGAGCCUCACAUCUGUUACAGGGCGUUAAGCUCACAAAUCCAAUCUGAUUAUGUAUAAUUAAAAAGGUUUGAAUAAGUUUGGCUAAUAAUUAAGUGUGUUGAUUAAAAAUGUGUGGAGUGUUAUAAGUCGAUAUAGACAUUAUGAUCUGUGUUGAAUAAGUUGUAAGACUCUAAAGAAUAUGUAUGCUAAUAUAAUACAUAUAAGGUUGGAGAAACUCAUAUGCUUCAUGCUUGCAAAUUUUGUUAUUGAGAUUAAAGAACAAGAGAUGUAUAUCUGAGAAGUUAUGUUCAGAUUUGGUCUUAUGACCUCAGUUAAAAUCACUUCAAUAGUUUCUAGUACUGAAACUUAACUAACCUGGAUGAAGAAGCUGAAAAGGAGAAAGAACAUAAACCACAUAUGUUCUUGAGAAGCCACUUUUUUCUUUUCUUGAGAAGCCACACUAUUAUGGUUUUGUGUGUUUGGGUUUG
Molecule: long non-coding RNA, 1337 nt
Filed under: Brassica napus (rape)
Lineage: Eukaryota; Viridiplantae; Streptophyta; Magnoliopsida; Brassicales; Brassicaceae
Description: long non-coding RNA (BNAP_LNC016895)
Source: RNAcentral